UGGGGAAUAUUGGACAAUGGGCGCAAGCCUGAUCCAGCCAUGCCGCGUGAGUGAUGAAGGACUUAGGGUUGUAAAGCUCUUUCGCUAGGGAAGAUAAUGACGGUACCUAGUAAAGAAGCCCCGGCUAACUUCGUGCCAGCAGCCGCGGUAAUACGAAGGGGGCUAACGUUGUUCGGAUUUACUGGGCGUAAAGCGUACGUAGGCGGAUUAGAAAGUUAGGGGUGAAAUCCCGAGGCUCAACCUCGGAACUGCCUCUAAAACUUCUAGUCUAGAGAUCGGGAGAGGUGUAUGGAACUCCUAGUGUAGAGGUGGAAUUCGUAGAUAUUAGGAAGAACACCAGUGGCGAAGGCGAUACACUGGCCCGAUACUGACGCUGAGGUACGAAAGCGUGGGGAGCAAACAGGAUUAGAUACCCUGGUAGUCCACGCCGUAAACUAUGAGAGCUAGCCGUUGGGAAGUUUACUUUUCAGUGGCGCAGCUAACGCAUUAAGCUCUCCGCCUGGGGAGUACGGUCGCAAGAUUA
RNAcentral lists this ribosomal RNA (523 nucleotides) under uncultured Alphaproteobacteria bacterium. RNAcentral's name for it is "bacterial SSU rRNA". It matches the Rfam family "Bacterial small subunit ribosomal RNA", at positions 355 to 896 of the family's 1533-position model. Lineage: Bacteria; Pseudomonadati; Pseudomonadota; Alphaproteobacteria. The record is from RNAcentral.